GCGCUUCAUCAACAAGCAUUUUCCAAAUCUCGAAUCGAGCUUGCCCGAUGCGAAGCCGAACUCAAGAAGCUGGUGGAAGAGAGGGACAACCUCAAAUGCCUCUAUGUACAGAAAGAGGAGGAGGUCAGGGAUCUCCGAGUUGAAUUGGUGAAGGCUCGUCAAGAACAGACUGAGCUCAUCGAAAAAGGCCCAGCAGAAAGGCGAGCUGGUGGAGCAGCUUCGAGAAGAGCUCAAGGUGAAAGAGGCUGAGACCCUGGGGUGGAAGCAACACAUGGACCGUCUCGCUUAUGAGAAAGAUACACUUCGGGACCAGGUGGCUUCGAUCGAACGCUAGCUUCAAAAUGCAAAGGGGGAAAGCUUGGCUCGGAGCCGCAAGACGAGGAGCUCGAAGCUAAAUCUGCCGUGAGCUUGCGAAGGCCAAAUCUGAGGUGGAGGCAUUUGUGUACUAGUGUCGAGCUGACGCCGAAGCUGCUAAAAUUCGGGCACAGGAGAUUUCAAUUGCGGCUGAAGUCAAAUUAUCAUAUGCUCUUGAUUACUCUCGAGGAGGUGCACGCUUGUGGCUUCGACUUCUCAGCUGAUAUUGAAAAGGCAAAAACUUUGGAGGACGAGGCUGCUGCUUUACUUUCUGAUGAUGAAAAUUCUGCUAGUGGCUCUGAGAGCGAAGGAGGCGAGGAUGAAGUCCCCGAGGAGGAGGUUCCCGAAGUUGCGGCUCUCAAAGACGUGGCUCUCGAGAUGCGGCUCCCGAGGAUGUGGCUCCCAAAGUAGAUUAGGCUCUUUUGUUUUUUGUUUUUGUGCAAGUCCCCUUGUGGGCACUGUAAAUACCUCUUAUGAAUAUAAGGAAUUCUUUUUCUUCC
This is a long non-coding RNA of Nicotiana attenuata, 854 nucleotides long. RefSeq lists it as uncharacterized. Lineage: Eukaryota; Viridiplantae; Streptophyta; Magnoliopsida; Solanales; Solanaceae. The record is from RefSeq and is a predicted model, not a curated record. The transcript has 2 exons.